Molecule: long non-coding RNA, 3475 nt
Filed under: Serinus canaria (Common canary)
Lineage: Eukaryota; Metazoa; Chordata; Aves; Passeriformes; Fringillidae
Description: lncRNA (ENSSCAG00000000592.1)
Source: RNAcentral
UACUCACGGUCCAUGCUCUGCUGCUGGAGAGGGGUUUUGUACUGGGAAAGCUUAUUUUAUUUUUCCGAAUGAAAAUAAGCUGCCCAGUAUGCCCAUGUACCCGUCAGUAAAACACUUGCUUUGGUAGGGAAUUUAGUACUGAAAAGUAGGGGGUUUAUUUUGUUUUAGCGUGGAUGAGUCUCCAAUGACUUAAUAGUCACAACAAUGUCAGUAUUACAGCCGAAAGGUCUUAAUUGGAUAGAUGUUGAGGCAAAAAAUACACUGAUAUUCCUGUGCUGGCACAUAUCUGCAGCUGGGAAAGAGCAGAGGAACACCACUGUGCAGGUGUUAGCAGAAAAUUUGGGAAGAUCUGUUCUGGUGAAAUAUGGGAUUCAAGUUGAGGAUUGAUUCAUCAGUGGUGCUGUUAACACUGUCAGAAUGGCUCACUCACUCUCCACCCGGCUGGUGUGGCCUCAAAGGCUGCCCCUGCUGAGGGCAGAGUGUGUGAAGCCUCUGCUGAGCAGGCGCUGGCAUCCCCCCAGAACUCCUUCUCACGGCAGGGACGGAGACGGACCCAGCCCAGCACAUGGAAAUGGAUCUCUCCAGCUGAGCGCUCAGGGAGUGCUGAAGCUACCAGGGAGCGUGCUCAGCACGACCCAGGCGACCCUCACAUCUCCAGGGCUAGUGAUUCUUGCACCUUCAGAGCCACAGUAUCAGCCAGCUUUUUUUUUCCCCAGGCUUUCAAUCACCUCUCAAGCAGACGAAUACUCCCCUUGGAAGCUGCUGUGCCCUGUGAGCCUGAGAGCCUGGCAGGCACAACCCGGGAGCAGCAGGGAGAGGUGGGUUCGUCGUGGAGGAUCCAGGAGCUCGGUGUGCGUGUCUGAGCCUGCAGUUCCAAGGUGCAGCAGGACCCAAGGUCUGCACACACCCAUGUACAGCACUUGUAAACAGCGUUAACGUAAAGAUAACGCGUGCAGGGAGUGUGCCGUGGGUUACCACAAGCGAUGAAGGAUUUUGGGACGGUGCCAAGGCAGUUUCCCCCUCAACGCACUGGUUUUUUUCUGGAAGAAUUAUGCGAGAGCGGAAAAGUUGCAAUGGCAUUGCAGUUCCCUGCUCAGAAAAUGCCCAGGGAGGUGAAGCAUGGCCAAGCGGUGCCAUUGAACUGUACCACAGCUGGGAGCAUCAGGUAAGUGACGAGGACUGAGCCGCAUCCCCCCUUAGCAAACACAGCAGUAAUGUCAAGCAGGAUCACCCUUUUCCAGACCACUGGCAUGUGCUUGGGGAUAAAAGCCUGUGUUUUUCACAGCCAGGUCUUCUGAGCCACAGCAGCCCCUGCUCUGGGGUGGCCACUGCUCACUGAUCACAGUGAAAACAAACUUGUGUACAGGCGCUCUGCAAAAUUCCCACCUUAGAUGCCACUGAAGCGCAGCUUUGGCUUUCAGGCAUCUCCCCUGCAAGCUGUCCCUUGUGUCGUUUCCGCAGGGGAUUCAUUGUUAAUUAAUUACUUCAACUUUUUUUAUUUUAAUUUCCAAAGAAUAGAAGUUGACUUUUACAGCUUUUUCAAGCUUUAUACCACACCUAAAUGCUCCUUUUGACUGCCUGAAGGUCUUUUCUGACCUGAACAAUUCUAUGACUUUGGUCCGUGCUUCAGCUUAAGGGAAAAGCUGCACGUUGAUUGGGUUUUGGAGUAAAAGAUUUGAACGUCCAGCUGUGAAUUUAUCUUGUGUUUUGUCUUCCAGGUUCAUUCCUGUUGUAAUCCUCAAAUGGCAAAACAGCGUUGCUCUUUAUUAAAAACAAUUUUGCUCUCAGAAUGUUGAUGGAGGUGAUGAUUGCAGGGGCGACGAUUGUGAAGAAUAACUCCCUCAUCUUCCCCAGGGCCUGGGCAGAGAGAGGUGGAGCUCGGAGUCCCCCCGACUCCUCCCGCGGGCGUUGGCGUCUGCAGCGCCAUCGGGACGGGAUCCACGUCCCGGCUCCUUCCUCCAGAGGCCGAAAGCUCAGCCGACAGUUUCAUGCAGGAUAGUCACCUUUCCAAGGCAAUAGAAGCACUUGCCAAGAGCGGCUGGUGAAGAUGGCUCAGAAGCAAUGGCAGGAGUGCAGUGAAAAGUCUGGUCCAUCGAUCCGGCUUCCGGACACGGUAGGGAAGACACACCUUUUGAUAAAACACCAAACACAGUAGUUUUCAUUCUUUGUGUUUUUCUGUGCUCCCAUUCGGAUUACCCCUGGAAGUACUAUUUUUGCAAAAGUUAUCUAGGAGAGAAAUCAUAACUUGCUUUGCAUCCUUCUGCCUGGAAGGGUUGUGACACAGGGGAGGAAGGGGCUGGCCGGGGCCAGCCUUUGCUGAGCCUCAGCUCUGGCUGCUGCUCCUGCUUCCAGGGUAAACCCAAAAGCUGUCAUGAUCAAAAAAGCAGGCAGCCCUUCUGUCCUGAGUCACAGGGGCCAUUUCUUCCUAAGUGACUCAAGAUGGGAAAUCAUUCUUGGAGCUUCAGAAGAAAAAAAAGAAAAAACAUACAUACCUUGAUAAAUGUGUCUAUAUACACACACAUUUCCUUCCAUGAAGAAGAAACUCUUAGAAAUAUCAUGUCGUGUCUGGCUUCCUAGAGAGGAUCCUUAACUCUGGGCUUCUGAAAUCAAAUGUCUGUGCGUUUAUAGACCAUUUCCCUUCUUUUUGUGUGCCUCCCACAGCGAUCUUCUCCCCUGCUCCAUGGCAAGAAGAGUUUGGUGACUUUGCUGCUCUGCUCUCUCAGGGGUGUUGCAGGCUGUGUAGCAGGGAGUGAAGCCUUUGUCGCUGCCCAUCAGACAUUUUCCUACAGAAUUCUCCCUGCAGUGAUAAAAGUAGACUUGUGUUAGUGAGCUGCCAAGUAGAGCAGGUAACAUGGGACAGGAACUGUUUCUGAGCUGCUGUUCACUAGCACGUGUUUCCCCUUUCCAGCAGAGCGCUGCCGCCCAAGAAGGGAUUUUUGUGGGUCAGCCAGAUGUGCUCCUGCCUCCCACUGAGGCUCUGAGCUGGAGCUGAGUUUGCGUUCCAGUUCAUUGGAACAGAGGGCAUCAGAAGUUUCCUCAGCUAUCUGAGGCACAGAGCCAUGGAACCAGUAAGCCUGAGCUGCUGCGUGCUUGCUGUGAGCCUUGAGGUGAGUGUGCAUCAUUGCAGGCUUGGAACUUAUUGAAAUGCACUAAGGAAACCAGCUCUGGGGAGGGAGGGAGGGAGGGAAAGUCCUUUCUUGACAUGUGCCAAUUAAUCUGUGAAACUCAUCCCGGCAGGACAGCGUGAAGACUGAAAGUGUAAGAAGAUGUGGGGUGCAAUGGAGAAUGUGGCAGGAGCAUCCAACACACGAGUGCACGAGUUUUGCUUUUUGCUUGGAUUGAAACUCAGAAGUUGUAAGGAAUUUGGGAAUGAGAUGGGACAUUUGAGAAGAAGAGGAAGGAGGAGAAGAAGUUGUUGUUACAGUCCUGACAAAAUCUUUUGUUCUAGCUAAUAAAAGAAGUUAGUUAAAAAAAA